GCUGGUGUGGCUCAGUGGGUAGAGCGUCAGCCUGCGGACUGAAGGGUCCCGGGUUCAAUUCCGGUCAAGGGCA
RNAcentral lists this transfer RNA (73 nucleotides) under Myotis davidii. It matches the Rfam family "tRNA". From Rfam's summary of the family: Transfer RNA (tRNA) molecules are approximately 80 nucleotides in length. Their secondary structure includes four short double-helical elements and three loops (D, anti-codon, and T loops). Lineage: Eukaryota; Metazoa; Chordata; Mammalia; Chiroptera; Vespertilionidae. The record is from Rfam by way of RNAcentral.